AGAGUUUGAUCCUGGCUCAGGACGAACGCUGGCGGCGUGCCUAAUACAUGCAAGUCGAGCGGACUUGAUGGAGUGCUUGCACUCCUGAUAGUUAGCGGCGGACGGGUGAGUAACACGUGGGUAACCUGCCCAUAAGACUGGGAUAACAUUCGGAAACGGGGUCUAAUACCGGAUAAUACCUGCCCGGGCAUCUGGGUGGGUUAAAAGCUCCGGCGGUGAAGGAUGAGCCCGCGGCCUAUCAGCUUGUUGGUGAGGUAGUGGCUCACCAAGGCGACGACGGGUAGCCGGCCUGAGAGGGCGACCGGCCACACUGGGACUGAGACACGGCCCAGACUCCUACGGGAGGCAGCAGUGGGGAAUAUUGCACAAUGGGCGAAAGCCUGAUGCAGCGACGCCGCGUGAGGGAUGACGGCCUUCGGGUUGUAAACCUCUUUCAGCAGGGAAGAAGCGAAAGUGACGGUACCUGCAGAAGAAGCGCCGGCUAACUACGUGCCAGCAGCCGCGGUAAUACGUAGGGGGCAAGCGUUGUCCGGAAUUAUUGGGCGUAAAGCGCGCGCAGGCGGCUUGUCACGUCGGGUGUGAAAGCCCGGGGCUUAACCCCGGGUCUGCAUUCGAUACGGGCUAGCUAGAGUGUGGUAGGGGAGAUCGGAAUUCCUGGUGUAGCGGUGAAAUGCGCAGAUAUCAGGAGGAACACCGGUGGCGAAGGCGGAUCUCUGGGCCAUUACUGACGCUGAGGAGCGAAAGCGUGGGGAGCGAACAGGAUUAGAUACCCUGGUAGUCCACGCCGUAAACGGUGGGAACUAGGUGUUGGCGACAUUCCACGUCGUCGGUGCCGCAGCUAACGCAUUAAGUUCCCCGCCUGGGGAGUACGGCCGCAAGGCUAAAACUCAAAGGAAUUGACGG
RNAcentral lists this ribosomal RNA (903 nucleotides) under uncultured bacterium. RNAcentral describes it as "bacterial SSU rRNA". It matches the Rfam family "Bacterial small subunit ribosomal RNA", at positions 8 to 916 of the family's 1533-position model. The record is from RNAcentral.